AGAGUUUGAUCCUGGCUCAGGAUGAACGCUGGCGGCGUGCUUAACACAUGCAAGUCGAACGAAGCACUUUAUUUGAUUUCCUUCGGGACUGAUUAUUUUGUGACUGAGUGGCGGACGAGUGAGUAACGCGUGGGUAACCUGCCUUGUACAGGGGGAUAACAGUUGGAAACGGCUGCUAAUACCGCAUAAGCGCACAGCAUCGCAUGAUGCAGUGUGAAAAACUCCGGUGGUAUAAGAUGGACCCGCGUUGGAUUAGCUAGUUGGUGAGGUAACGGCCCACCAAGGCGACGAUCCAUAGCCGACCUGAGAGGGUGACCGGCCACAUUGGGACUGAGACACGGCCCAAACUCCUACGGGAGGCAGCAGUGGGGAAUAUUGCACAAUGGGCGAAAGCCUGAUGCAGCGACGCCGCGUGAGCGAAGAAGUAUUUCGGUAUGUAAAGCUCUAUCAGCAGGGAAGAUAAUGACGGUACCUGACUAAGAAGCACCGGCUAAAUACGUGCCAGCAGCCGCGGUAAUACGUAUGGUGCAAGCGUUAUCCGGAUUUACUGGGUGUAAAGGGAGCGCAGGCGGUGCGGCAAGUCUGAUGUGAAAGCCCGGGGCUCAACCCCGGUACUGCAUUGGAAACUGUCGUACUAGAGUGUCGGAGGGGUAAGCGGAAUUCCUAGUGUAGCGGUGAAAUGCGUAGAUAUUAGGAGGAACACCAGUGGCGAAGGCGGCUUACUGGACGAUAACUGACGCUGAGGCUCGAAAGCGUGGGGAGCAAACAGGAUUAGAUACCCUGGUAGUCCACGCCGUAAACGAU
RNAcentral lists this ribosomal RNA (804 nucleotides) under uncultured bacterium. RNAcentral describes it as "bacterial SSU rRNA". It matches the Rfam family "Bacterial small subunit ribosomal RNA", at positions 8 to 810 of the family's 1533-position model. The record is from RNAcentral.